This 497-nucleotide ribosomal RNA is filed under the name uncultured bacterium. RNAcentral describes it as "partial 16S ribosomal RNA". It matches the Rfam family "Bacterial small subunit ribosomal RNA", at positions 28 to 507 of the family's 1533-position model. The record is from RNAcentral.
GAUGAACGCUGGCGGCGUGCCUAAUACAUGCAAGUCGAGCGAACAGACGAGGGGCUUGCUCCUCUGACGUUAGCGGCGGACGGGUGAGUAACACGUGGAUAACCUACCUAUAAGACUGGGAUAACUUCGGGAAACCGGAGCUAAUACCGGAUAAUAUAUUGAACCGCAUGGUUCAAUAGUGAAAGACGGUUUUGCUGUCACUUAUAGAUGGAUCCGCGCCGCAUUAGCUAGUUGGUAAGGUAACGGCUUACCAAGGCAACGAUGCGUAGCCGACCUGAGAGGGUGAUCGGCCACACUGGAACUGAGACACGGUCCAGACUCCUACGGGAGGCAGCAGUAGGGAAUCUUCCGCAAUGGGCGAAGGCCUGACGGAGCAACGCCGCGUGAGUGAUGAAGGUCUUCGGAUCGUAAAACUCUGUUAUUAGGGAAGAACAAAUGUGUAAGUAACUAUGCACGUCUUGACGGUACCUAAUCAGAAAGCCACGGCUAACUACGUG